AACGAACGCUGGCGGCAUGCCUAACACAUGCAAGUCGAACGAUGCCUUCGGGCAUAGUGGCGCACGGGUGCGUAACGCGUGGGAAUCUGCCUUUCGGUUCGGAAUAACUCAGGGAAACUUGAGCUAAUACCGGAUAACGUCGCAAGACCAAAGAUUUAUCAACGAAAGAUGAGCCCGCGUAGGAUUAGCUAGUUGGUGAGGUAAAGGCUCACCAAGGCGACGAUCCUUAGCUGGUCUGAGAGGAUGAGCAGCCACACUGGGACUGAGACACGGCCCAGACUCUUGCACGAUGCAGGAGUGCCUGAUCUAGCACUACCGGCGGAAUGCUGAAGCACUUAGGCUGGUAGAGCGAUGUUGUUCGGAGGGUUGUAAAGCUCGUUUACCCCGGAAUGUUAUGACGGUACCGAAAGAAUAAGCCCCGGCUAACUUCGUG
Molecule: ribosomal RNA, 433 nt
Filed under: uncultured bacterium
Lineage: Bacteria
Description: partial 16S ribosomal RNA
Rfam family: Bacterial small subunit ribosomal RNA
Source: RNAcentral